UGGGGAAUCUUAGACGGUGGGCGCCAANNGAUCUAGCGAUGCCGCGUGAGUGACGAAGGCCUUAGGGUCGUAAAGCUCUUUCGCCAGGGAUGAUAAUGACAGUACCUGGUAAAGAAACCCCGGCUAACUCCGUG
This 134-nucleotide ribosomal RNA is filed under the name uncultured bacterium. RNAcentral describes it as "partial 16S ribosomal RNA". It matches the Rfam family "Bacterial small subunit ribosomal RNA", at positions 355 to 507 of the family's 1533-position model. The record is from RNAcentral.